This 260-nucleotide ribosomal RNA is filed under the name uncultured bacterium. Its description in RNAcentral is "partial 16S ribosomal RNA". It matches the Rfam family "Bacterial small subunit ribosomal RNA", at positions 524 to 785 of the family's 1533-position model. The record is from RNAcentral.
UACGUAGGGGGCAAGCGUUGUCCGGAUUUAUUGGGCGUAAAGCGCUCGCAGGUGGUUCGAUGCGUCGUGCGUGAAAGACCCCGGCUCAACUGGGGAGGGUCGUGCGAUACGGUCGAACUGGAGGCCAGUAGGGGGAUGCGGAAUUCCAGGUGUAGCGGUGAAAUGCGUAGAUAUCUGGAGGAACACCGGUGGCGAAGGCGGCAUCCUGGACCAACACUGACGCUGAUGAGCGAAAGCCAGGGAGCAACGGGAUUAGCAUG